GCGGACAUGAUGUAAUUGGUAAACAUGCUAAAUUUAGGUUUUAGUUAAAUUCUGGUGGUUCGAAUCCACCUGCCCGCA
This 78-nucleotide transfer RNA is filed under the name Chroomonas placoidea. RNAcentral's name for it is "tRNA-Leu". It matches the Rfam family "tRNA". Rfam says of the family: Transfer RNA (tRNA) molecules are approximately 80 nucleotides in length. Their secondary structure includes four short double-helical elements and three loops (D, anti-codon, and T loops). Lineage: Eukaryota; Cryptophyceae; Pyrenomonadales; Chroomonadaceae. The record is from RNAcentral.